This 303-nucleotide ribosomal RNA is filed under the name uncultured bacterium. RNAcentral's name for it is "partial 16S ribosomal RNA". It matches the Rfam family "Bacterial small subunit ribosomal RNA", at positions 507 to 809 of the family's 1533-position model. The record is from RNAcentral.
AGCAGUAGCCGCGGGAAUACGUAGGGCGCAAGCGUUGUCCGGAAUUAUUGGGCGUAAAGAGCUCGUAGGCGGUCUGUCGCGUCUGGUGUGAAAUCCCGAGGCUCAACCUCGGGCUUGCAUCGGGUACGGGCAGACUAGAGUGCGGUAGGGGAGACUGGAAUUCCUGGUGUAGCGGUGGAAUGCGCAGAUAUCAGGAGGAACACCGAUGGCGAAGGCAGGUCUCUGGGCCGCAACUGACGCUGAGGAGCGAAAGCAUGGGGAGCGAACAGGAUUAGAGACCCCGGUAGUCCCUGUCUCUUAUAA